RNAcentral lists this ribosomal RNA (253 nucleotides) under uncultured bacterium. RNAcentral's name for it is "partial 16S ribosomal RNA". It matches the Rfam family "Bacterial small subunit ribosomal RNA", at positions 524 to 776 of the family's 1533-position model. The record is from RNAcentral.
UACGAAGGGGGCUAGCGUUGUUCGGAAUUACUGGGCGUAAAGCGCACGCAGGCGGAUUGAUAAGUCAGGGGUGAAAUCCCGGGGCUUAACCUCGGAAUUGCCUUUGAUAAUGUCUGUCUUGAGUCCGGGAGAGGUGAGUGGAAUUCCUAGUGUGGAGGUGAAAUUCGUAGAUAUUAGGAAGAACACCAGUGGCGAAGGCGGCUCACUGGCCCGGAACUGCCGCUCAUGUGCGAAAGCGUGGGGAGCAAACUGU